Molecule: transfer RNA, 54 nt
Filed under: Agamermis sp. BH-2006
Lineage: Eukaryota; Metazoa; Nematoda; Enoplea; Mermithida; Mermithidae
Description: tRNA-Leu
Source: RNAcentral
AAUUUCUGAUAAUUUUUACCUUUUAAAAGUAAUGUAUUAGUAUACUAAACAGAU